UUAACGAAAUGUUGGAGAAGGGGCUCGUUCCCUCUGUGGUUACAUAUAACUUGAUGAUAAAUGGGUGGUGCAAGGCCAAUAGGACUGAAUUGGCACUUCUUUGUUUUUCUAAAAUGGAAGCUCAAGGGAGGCCUCCCAAUGUGAUCGCAUACACCACUUUGAUAGAUGGGUUCUGCAAUGAGGAGAGAGCUGAUGAUGCCACAGUGCUCUGGAAUAGAAUGAUAGAUCAGGGACGUACCCCUAAUAGAAUAGCUUACAUGGCCCUAGUCAAUGGAUUAUGUAAGUGUGGAAGAGCUAGUACAGCUUUACAGCACUUCCAUGAGAUGGAAGCCAAGGCUUUCGAUCCUGAUGCCUUUAUUUAUGUGGCAUUAAUAGAUUCUCUCGUUAGCAUAGCUGAUAUGUUCUCGGCUUUUAGGAUUUUGAGAGAAAUGGUUCGAAAAGGAACGUGUCGAAGUCCCUCUGAUAAGCAUUAUGGUUUGCUGCUAGAAUUAUUAUGCAAAAUGUACAAAGAAAGGCGUAUUUCUUCAGAUGUAAAUGCUCUUAUAGAAGAUGGUGGCACUCCAAUGAUCCAUAGUCCCUCUGAUCUUGGAGUGGGUAUUAGGAUUCAAUAAAAGUUUCCUUUGACAUUCUUGAAGAUGCUGGGAGGAGUCAAUGAAAUACAUUCAUGGCUACCUUUAUGUAUUCUGCCUGGUUAUACCAAACAUUUGUCAUGGAUUCCGCGAAGUUUCUCAUUUUCUCAAGCAUUUGAAAAGGAAAUCAUGGUGCAGCAUAGGGAAGGACAAUCCAUGUUGCUGCUUUCUGCUUGUCUACUUGAACAGGACAUAGACAUAUAUCCAUAUGGAGUUGAUAAAAGGGAUGAGAGUGGGUCUAUGUAGAAAAUGUUACAGAAAGAAGGUGCUUCCAUUCAAGGAACAGAUCAUUUCAAGAUUCCUGUAUCUGGUAACACAGGCAAUUAUAACUAGGACGUCGGACCAUUUGAAGUUUAGAAUCAAGAGGACAUGGUCCUUUGAUCAUUAAGACUCGAGUAUUCCACAUCGUCACCCUCAUUAUCACAAGGCACAUAACACUGAGAAGCAGUGCCUACAACCCCGAAGUAACAAAUUUCUCAUGCUGGACUCCUAAUCUCAUGUUACAAGAUGCAAUUAUCUUUUAGUCAUCUUUUUUGCAACUAUUGACCAAUAAAAAAUCAAGUGGAUUAUGUUCAUUAAGUAUGGAAUGUAACGAUCCACUGAGAGAUUGUAAGUCGAGAAGUUUAAAAAUAACGUAAUUAUACAUGUGUGACACAGGGCCAAAGAAUGACCCUGAAACUGUGUUAAGUAAGUUAAUUAUGUAUGGCAUAAUCGAGUUUAGUAAUGAGUUAUUGAAGGUUUGGAAA
Molecule: non-coding RNA, 1375 nt
Organism: Amborella trichopoda
Lineage: Eukaryota; Viridiplantae; Streptophyta; Magnoliopsida; Amborellales; Amborellaceae
Source: RefSeq, a predicted model, not a curated record